RNAcentral lists this ribosomal RNA (832 nucleotides) under Thalamita sima. RNAcentral's name for it is "12S ribosomal RNA". Lineage: Eukaryota; Metazoa; Arthropoda; Malacostraca; Decapoda; Portunidae. The record is from RNAcentral.
UUAAAGUUUGAUUUGUUCUUUAUUCCUUGUAUUCAGUAUUGAAGUUGUAUGAGAGUCGGGACAGGUAAGUUAAAAAGGAUUUAAAAUUUUAUACCAUCAGCCAGUAUUUGUACAAUAUACGGUAAUUCUCAGCAUAUAAUAUUAGACAAUUUAGUAAAUUAAGAUCUAGCAAUACUUUAAAACUUGAUUAAUAUUGUGCCAGCAGUCGCGGUUAUACUUUAAAGUUAAAUAAGGAAAAAAGUUGGUUUACUGUUAGGCGAAGAUAAUUGAUAAAAGUCUGGGAGAAUAAAAGAGUGAAAUCAGAUUUUCUUUUGCAGAGCUAAAACAUUAACCGAUUAAAGCUGAGGCAGUAAAAUAUUGGGCAUAAACUAGGAUUAGAUACCCUAUUAUACCAGAAAAUAAUUUAACCAAACUAAAGUAAUAAUAGCUAUGUUCUAAAAAUUUGAAGAAUUUGGCGGUGAUUUAGUCUAGUCAGAGGAACCUGUUUUUGAAUCGAUAAACCACGAAAAAUCUUACUUAGGUUUGUAAAGUAUGUAUACCAUCAUUAUUAGGUAAUUUUUAUAGAAUUAAUUACUGAAUAUUUGUUAAUAGCGUUAAAUAUAUUAGAUCAAGGUGCAGCUCAUGCUUAAGUUAAAAUGGGUUACAAUAAAAUUUAUUUAUACGAAAUUAUAAUUUAAAUAUUAUUAAGAAGGAGGAUUUGAUUGUAAAGUUAGUUUAACAUGCUAGUUAGAUAUAAGCUCUAAAUCAUGUACAUAUCGCCCGUCGCUUUCAUUUUUAAAUGAGAUAAGUCGUAACAUAGUAGAUUUACUGGAAAGUGAAUCUGGAUAGGAAA